GACGAACGCUGGCGGCGUGCUUAACACAUGCAAGUCGAACGGAAAGGCUCCUGCUUGCAGGGGUACUCGAGUGGCGAACGGGUGAGUAACACGUGGGUGAUCUGCCUUGUACUCUGGGAUAAGCUUGGGAAACUGGGUCUAAUACCGGAUAAUAACUGCCUUUAGUGUGGUGGUUGGAAAGUUUUUUCGGUGCAAGAUGAGCUCGCGGCCUAUCAGCUUGUUGGUGGGGUAAUGGCCUACCAAGGCGUCGACGGGUAGCCGGCCUGAGAGGGUGUACGGCCACAUUGGGACUGAGAUACGGCCCAGACUCCUACGGGAGGCAGCAGUGGGGAAUAUUGCACAAUGGGCGGAAGCCUGAUGCAGCGACGCCGCGUGGGGGAUGACGGCCUUCGGGUUGUAAACUCCUUUCGACAGGGACGAAGCUUUUUGUGACGGUACCUGUAGAAGAAGCACCGGCUAACUACGUG
This 467-nucleotide ribosomal RNA is filed under the name uncultured bacterium. RNAcentral describes it as "partial 16S ribosomal RNA". It matches the Rfam family "Bacterial small subunit ribosomal RNA", at positions 28 to 507 of the family's 1533-position model. The record is from RNAcentral.